UCGGGCUUUGUUUGCGCAGGAUAGGUGGGAGGCGUUGAAGAUUUUCUUGCGGGGAGAUUGGAGCCGUUGGUGAGAUACCACUCUAACAAUGCUAGGAUUCUAACCCUAUACCGUUACCCGGUUAGGGGACAGUUUCAGGUGGUCAGUUUGACUGGGGCGGUCGCCUCCCAAAAGGUAACGGAGGCGUGCAAAGGUUUCCUCAGGCUGGUCGGAAAUCAGUCGUAGAGUGUAAAGGCAUAAGGAAGCUUGGUUGUGAGACCUACAAGUCGAACAAAGACGAAAGUCGGCCUUAGUGAUCCGACGGUUCCGAGUGGAAGGGCCGUCGCUCAACGGAUAAAAGUUACUCUAGGGAUAACAGGCA
This 361-nucleotide ribosomal RNA is filed under the name uncultured eukaryote. RNAcentral describes it as "LSU rRNA". It matches the Rfam family "Bacterial large subunit ribosomal RNA", at positions 2123 to 2483 of the family's 2925-position model. The record is from RNAcentral.